AGUGAACGCUGGCGGUAGGCCUAACACAUGCAAGUCGAACGGCAGCACAGAGGAGCUUGCUCCUUGGGUGGCGAGUGGCGGACGGGUGAGGAAUACAUCGGAAUCUACUCUGUCGUGGGGGAUAACGUAGGGAAACUUACGCUAAUACCGCAUACGACCUACGGGUGAAAGCAGGGGACCUUCGGGCCUUGCGCGAUUGAAUGAGCCGAUGUGGGAUUAGCUAGUUGGCGGGGUAAAGGCCCACCAAGGCGACGAUGCGUAGCUGGUCUGGGAGGAUGAUCAGCGACACUGGAACUGGGACACGGUCCAGACUCCUACGGGAGGCAGCAGUGGGGAAUAUUGGACAAUGGGCGCAAGCCUGAUCCAGCCAUACCGCGUGGGUGAAGAAGGCCUUCGGGUUGUAAAGCCCUUUUGUUGGGAAAGAAAUCCAGCUGGCUAAUACCCGGUUGGGAUGACGGUACCCAAAGAAUAAGCACCGGCUAACUUCGUGCCAGCCGCCGCGGUAA
RNAcentral lists this ribosomal RNA (506 nucleotides) under uncultured bacterium. Its description in RNAcentral is "partial 16S ribosomal RNA". It matches the Rfam family "Bacterial small subunit ribosomal RNA", at positions 29 to 523 of the family's 1533-position model. The record is from RNAcentral.